Molecule: non-coding RNA, 567 nt
Organism: Nylanderia fulva
Lineage: Eukaryota; Metazoa; Arthropoda; Insecta; Hymenoptera; Formicidae
Source: RefSeq, a predicted model, not a curated record
UUAGCAAUUCAAUUAUGUGAUUAUUCACAAGCUUUACUAAUAGAAUUUGUUAGAACUUUUGAUGAGUUUUACGGGCCAAAUUCUAAAAUUUACAAUAUCCAUAAUUUGAUUCAUCUUACAGAUGAUGUUAGAAAUUUUAAGAAGCCUUUAGAUGAUAUAAGUGCAUUUGACUUUGAAAAUUUACUUGGGAAAAUAAAAAGAUGUCUUCGGGGUGGAAAAAAACCUUUAUCACAGUUAUCACGACGACUUUCUGAAAGUGCUUCCAUUUCUGUAAAAUAUACUUCUAAUUGGGAGUUGAAACAUAAACAUGAAUGUGGACCACUUAUUGCUGACACAGAAAACUCUAUAAAUGCAAAAAUAUUCCAUAGUUGAAUUUAAUGAUGAAAAUACCGUUGAAAUUAUUCCUUCUUCUUGGAUAUCAUUUGAUAAAAAAACUACAUUAUGGCCCAAUACUAUAUCUCCUGCCAUUCUAAAGAAAUAUUUGAAAAAUAAUACUCAGCCCAAUGAUGAUUGGACUUCUGUACAUAUAAGAGUUUUAGGACAUGCAGAUAAUUUAACUGAAGCCAU